GAGUUUGAUCAUGGCUCAGAUUGAACGCUGGCGGCAGGCCUAACACAUGCAAGUCGAGCGGAAACGAGUUAUCUGAACCUUCGGGGAACGAUAACGGCGUCGAGCGGCGGACGGGUGAGUAAUGCCUAGGAAAUUGCCCUGGUGUGGGGGAUAACCAUUGGAAACGAUGGCUAAUACCGCAUAAUACCUUCGGGUCAAAGAGGGGGACCUUCGGGCCUCUCGCGUCAGGAUAUGCCUAGGUGGGAUUAGCUAGUUGGUGAGGUAAUGGCUCACCAAGGCGACGAUCCCUAGCUGGUCUGAGAGGAUGAUCAGCCACACUGGAACUGAGACACGGUCCAGACUCCUACGGGAGGCAGCAGUGGGGAAUAUUGCACAAUGGGCGCAAGCCUGAUGCAGCCAUGCCGCGUGUGUGAAGAAGGCCUUCGGGUUGUAAAGCACUUUCAGUCGUGAGGAAGGUAGUGUAGUUAAUAGCUGCAUUAUUUGACGUUAGCGACAGAAGAAGCACCGGCUAACUCCGUGCCAGCAGCCGCGGUAAUACGGAGGGUGCGAGCGUUAAUCGGAAUUACUGGGCGUAAAGCGCAUGCAGGUGGUUUGUUAAGUCAGAUGUGAAAGCCCGGGGCUCAACCUCGGAAUAGCAUUUGAAACUGGCAGACUAGAGUACUGUAGAGGGGGGUAGAAUUUCAGGUGUAGCGGUGAAAUGCGUAGAGAUCUGAAGGAAUACCGGUGGCGAAGGCGGCCCCCUGGACAGAUACUGACACUCAGAUGCGAAAGCGUGGGGAGCAAACAGGAUUAGAUACCCUGGUAGUCCACGCCGUAAACGAUGUCUACUUGGAGGUUGUGGNCUUUGAGCCGUGGCUUUCGGAGCUAACGCGUUAAGUAGACCACCUGGGGAGUACGGUCGCAAGAUUAAAACUCAAAUGAAUUG
This 925-nucleotide ribosomal RNA is filed under the name uncultured bacterium. Its description in RNAcentral is "bacterial SSU rRNA". It matches the Rfam family "Bacterial small subunit ribosomal RNA", at positions 9 to 912 of the family's 1533-position model. The record is from RNAcentral.